AAACUUUCAACAACGGAUCUCUUGGUUCUGGCAUCGAUGAAGAACGCAGCGAAAUGCGAUAAGUAAUGUGAAUUGCAGAAUUCAGUGAAUCGUCGAAUCUUUGAACGCACAUUGCGCCCGCCAGUAUUCUGGCGGGCAUGCCUGUCCGAGCGUCAUUU
This 158-nucleotide ribosomal RNA is filed under the name Trichoderma reesei. RNAcentral describes it as "5.8S ribosomal RNA". It matches the Rfam family "5.8S ribosomal RNA". From Rfam's summary of the family: 5.8S ribosomal RNA (5.8S rRNA) is a component of the large subunit of the eukaryotic ribosome. It is transcribed by RNA polymerase I as part of the 45S precursor that also contains 18S and 28S rRNA. The record is from RNAcentral. Lineage: Eukaryota; Fungi; Ascomycota; Sordariomycetes; Hypocreales; Hypocreaceae.